Cricetulus griseus (Chinese hamster) is the source of this 138-nucleotide small nuclear RNA. Its record names the gene U1. It matches the Rfam family "U1 spliceosomal RNA". From Rfam's summary of the family: U1 is a small nuclear RNA (snRNA) component of the spliceosome (involved in pre-mRNA splicing). Its 5' end forms complementary base pairs with the 5' splice junction, thus defining the 5' donor site of an intron. There are significant differences in sequence and secondary structure between metazoan and yeast U1 snRNAs, the latter being much longer (568 nucleotides as compared to 164 nucleotides in human). Lineage: Eukaryota; Metazoa; Chordata; Mammalia; Rodentia; Cricetidae. The record is from Ensembl.
UUUCUUACCUGACAGGGGAGAUACCAUGAUGGAGAAAGGUGGUUUUCCCAGGGAAGGCUCAUACAUUGCAUUCUGUGUGUGCAGACACCUUUGAUUUUUUUUCACCCAGUAGUAGUAGUUUCCCUGAAAAAUAGAAGC